RNAcentral lists this ribosomal RNA (253 nucleotides) under uncultured bacterium. RNAcentral's name for it is "partial 16S ribosomal RNA". It matches the Rfam family "Bacterial small subunit ribosomal RNA", at positions 524 to 776 of the family's 1533-position model. The record is from RNAcentral.
UACAGAGGUGGCAAGCGUUGUUCGGAUUUACUGGGCGUAAAGGGUGCGUAGGCGGUCUUGUGUGUCGGAUGUGAAAUCCCACGGAUCAUCCGUGGAACUGCAUUCGAAACUGCAGGGCUGGAGUGCAGGAGAGGAAGGCGGAAUUCUCGGUGUAGCGGUGAAAUGCGUUGAUAUCGAGAGGAACGCCGGUGACGAAGGCGGCCUUCUGGACUGCAACUGACGCUGAGAAGCGAAAGCGUGGGGAGCAAACAGG